GUUGUUUUGGGGCUUUUGUGGAGGUUUUUAAGCAUAUUUCCCUCUCGCCCCGCUGGAGCGCUAUGCAAAGGCACGGCUGAGAGCCGGGGGGGGGGGGGGGGGGGGGGGACGACACGGGGCGGGCCCGCGGGUCGCAGUCUCACUCCGCAGGCAGCGGGGGUGGGGGGGGGGGGGCGCAGCGGGACAGCCUCCCUGGGGCCAGCCUCCCUCGGGACCAACCUCCCCAGGACCCAGCCUCCCCAGGGGCCCAGCCUCCCCGGGGGACCCUUCCAGGCGCUUCCCCACGGGGCUGCGGCAGCGGCGACCGGGCCCCUCGCCGUCCGUGCCCCAGGCCCUGGGAGCGCAUCGCACCCGGCGGCCUCGCGGGCGGGGGUCCCGGGCUCCCGGGCAGGUCCCGAUGGCCGCGGGGACCCCCGGACAGUCCGCUCGAAUCGGUCCGGUAUUUGGCAAAGAACCCGCGCGGCCCCGCGGGAGGCGGGGGCGGGAGGCGGGGGGCGGGGGCCCCAGGCGCCGAGGCUCGGGCGCGGGCGGCCGCCGGGCGCGGGGCGCGGGGCGCGGGGCGCGGGGCGCGGGGAGCGCGGGCGCCAGGAAGGCGGCGCGGCCGUGGAGCGCCACAGCUGCGGCCCCGCCGCUCCCCCGCCCCGAGCAGGUGGCCCGCCCGCCCGCCCCCGGCCCUCCUGCCUCCCCGGCCCCUCCUGCCCCUCCUGCCUCCCCGGCCCCUCCUGCCCCGCCCCUCCGGCCCCGGGCCCAGCGCCCCGUCCUCCCCGCAGGCACCUGGGCUCGCACCCCGGGCCCCGCCGCCAAGUCCCCGCGCGGACCGAGCGGAAAGUUGCGCUCACGACGCCUCCCGGUGCUGCGCGACGCCCCGCACCAGCCCCGCGCUCCCCCCGGGACGUACCCGCGAGCUGCCCGCCGAGCCGGGGGGGGGGGGUCCUAGCGCCGGGGUCGCCCGGCCUCCCCGCCGCCGAGCGCUGCGGCGCGGGCUCCUCCGGCCCCGGGGACGCGGCCGCGUGUGAGCGGAGGAGCCGGGGCGCAGCCGGGAGCGGCCGCCGGGACCCGCCCCCCGCGCCGAGCGCUCCCUCCCCGCCCCGCCUCCGCCCCGGGCCGGGCUCCGCGGUGUGCGCCCGCGGGGGCUCCGGGGGGCCUCCAUCCCCGCGCCCCGGCCGAGGGCUGGUCGCGGGGUCCGCCGCGGGGUCUCCGGGGCCCGGGGUGCCGGCCGGAGCCUCGCUGCCCCCGCGCUUCGCAGGCGCCAGGACCGGGCGGCGGCGCGGUGGGCGCGCCCCGAGGGCUCAGGCUUCCCGGGCCACGCGGCCGCCCCUAGAUCUAACCGCGGCUGAGCGCGGAAGGUACAGGGCGCCGAGGCUUCUUAUCUGCGCCCCGAGUUUGGGUCUUCGUGUUAUUAGCAGAUCGUUUUUCACAGAUUGGGAAGCAGCGUGCGGUGCUGCCAACUUUUGGACCCAGAGAAAUAGACAACAGUGCAUAUCCGGUUUCAUCUAA
RNAcentral lists this long non-coding RNA (1497 nucleotides) under Canis lupus familiaris (dog). RNAcentral describes it as "lncRNA (ENSCAFG00040000650.1)". The record is from RNAcentral. Lineage: Eukaryota; Metazoa; Chordata; Mammalia; Carnivora; Canidae.